CCUCGGAGGCCCGCGCAUGCGCAGGACCAGCCUUCAGAGCGGCAGAGGGGCCGGCGAGCUGGAGAGCUGCGUGACGCGUGCACCGGAGGCAGGGUCCCUGGUGCAGAGGUGGCGGCUGCGCUGGUUUGUGUGGGUGGAUUGUCGGUUUCUGGAUCCUUCCUCCAGGAUUUUCAGCGCUGGGGAGCUCUCCUUUCUGCAGUGUGGAGGAGCGCUGGGCAGGAGGCGGCACUGAGUUCCAGGGCAAGUUACCUGUGGCUCCUGAGUGCUGCUCCUUGGCCUGGAAGGCCCUUCCUUCACCCCAUCCACCCU
Diceros bicornis minor is the source of this 309-nucleotide long non-coding RNA. RefSeq lists it as uncharacterized. Lineage: Eukaryota; Metazoa; Chordata; Mammalia; Perissodactyla; Rhinocerotidae. The transcript has 2 exons. The record is from RefSeq and is a predicted model, not a curated record.